RNAcentral lists this ribosomal RNA (497 nucleotides) under uncultured bacterium. RNAcentral's name for it is "partial 16S ribosomal RNA". It matches the Rfam family "Bacterial small subunit ribosomal RNA", at positions 28 to 507 of the family's 1533-position model. The record is from RNAcentral.
GAUGAACGCUGGCGGCGUGCCUAAUACAUGCAAGUCGAGCGAACAGACGAGGAGCUUGCUCCUCUGACGUUAGCGGCGGACGUGUGAGUAACACGUGGAUAACCUACCUAUAAGACUGGUAUAACUUCGGGAAACCGGAGCUAAUACCGGAUAAUAUAUUGAACCGCAUGGUUCAAUAGUGAAAUACGGUUUUGCUGUCACGUAUAGAUGGAUCCGCGCCGCAUUAGAUAGUUGGUAAGGUAACGGCUUACCAAGGCAACGAUGCGUAUCCGACCUGAGAGGGGGAUAGCCCACACUGGAACUGAGCCACGGUCCAGACUACUACGGGAGGCACCAGUAGGGAACCUUCCGCAAUGGGCGAAAGCAUGACGGAGCAACGCCGCGUGAGAGAUGAAGGUCUUCGGAUCGUAAAACUCUGUUAUUAGGGAAGAACAAAUGUGUAAGUAAAUAUGCACGUCUUGACGGUAACUAAUCAGAAAGCCACGGCUAACUACGUG